UCCGAAGGGGGCUAGCGUUGUUCGGAAUUACUGGGCGUAAAGCGCGCGCAGGCGGUUUUUCAAGUCAGUGGUGAAAGCCCGGAGCUCAACUCCGGAAAUGCCAUUGAAACUGUUAAACUUGAGGACGAGAGAGGUGAGUGGAAUUCCCAGUGUAGAGGUGAAAUUCGUAGAUAUUGGGAAGAACACCGGUGGCGAAGGCGGCUCACUGGCUCGUUUCUGACGCUGAGGAGCGAAAGCGUGGGGAGCGAACAGG
Molecule: ribosomal RNA, 253 nt
Filed under: uncultured bacterium
Lineage: Bacteria
Description: partial 16S ribosomal RNA
Rfam family: Bacterial small subunit ribosomal RNA
Source: RNAcentral